GACGAACGCUGGCGGCGUGCUUAACACAUGCAAGUCGAACGGAAAGGCCCUGCUUUUGUGGGGUGCUCGAGUGGCGAACGGGUGAGUAACACGUGAGUAACCUGCCCUUGACUUUGGGAUAACUUCAGGAAACUGGGGCUAAUACCGGAUAGGAGCUCCUGCUGCAUGGUGGGGGUUGGAAAGUUUCGGCGGUUGGGGAUGGACUCGCGGCUUAUCAGCUUGUUGGUGGGGUAGUGGCUUACCAAGGCUUUGACGGGUAGCCGGCCUGAGAGGGUGACCGGCCACAUUGGGACGGAGAUACGGCCCAGACUCCUACGGGAGGCAGCAGUGGGGAAUAUUGCACAAUGGGCGAAAGCCUGAUGCAGCAACGCCGCGUGCGGGAUGACGGCCUUCGGGUUGUAAACCGCUUUCGCCUGUGACGAAGCGUGAGUGACGGUAAUGGGUAAAGAAGCACCGGCUAACUACGU
Molecule: ribosomal RNA, 467 nt
Filed under: uncultured bacterium
Lineage: Bacteria
Description: partial 16S ribosomal RNA
Rfam family: Bacterial small subunit ribosomal RNA
Source: RNAcentral